CCUACGGGUGGCAGCAGUGAGGAAUAUUGGUCAAUGGGCGUAAGCCUGAACCAGCAAAGUCGCGUGAGGGAUGAAGGUUCUAUGGAUCGUAAACCUCUUUUAUAAGGGAAUAAAGUGCGGGACGUGUCCCGUUUUGUAUGUACCUUAUGAAUAAGGAUCGGCUAACUACGUGCCAUCAGCCGCGGUAAUACGGAGGAUCCGAGCGUUAUACGGAUUUAUUGGGUUUAAAGGGUGCGUAGGCGGCGUUUUAAGUCAGCGGUGAAAGUCUGUGGCUCAACCAUAGAAUUGCGGUUGAAACUGGAAGGCUUGAGUAGGUUUGAGGCAGGCGGAAUUCGUGGUGUAGCGGGGAAAUGCUUAGAUAUCACGCAGAACACCGAUUGCGAAGGCAGCCUGCGAAGCCAUGACUGACGCUGAUGCACGAAAGCGUGGGUAUCAAACAGGAUUAGAUACCCUAGUAGUC
Molecule: ribosomal RNA, 460 nt
Filed under: uncultured bacterium
Lineage: Bacteria
Description: partial 16S ribosomal RNA
Rfam family: Bacterial small subunit ribosomal RNA
Source: RNAcentral